Molecule: ribosomal RNA, 500 nt
Filed under: uncultured bacterium
Lineage: Bacteria
Description: partial 16S ribosomal RNA
Rfam family: Bacterial small subunit ribosomal RNA
Source: RNAcentral
AUUGAACGCUGGCGGCAGGCUUAACACAUGCAAGCCGAGCGGAGAUGAGGUGCUUGCACCUUAUCUUAGCGGCGGACGGGUGAGUAAUGCUUAGGAAUCUGCCUAUUAGUGGGGGACAACAUCCCGAAAGGAAUGCUAAUACCGCAUACGUCCUACGGGAGAAAGCAGGGGAUCUUCGGACCUUGCGCUAAUAGAUGAGCCUAAGUCGGAUUAGCUAGUUGGUGGGGUAAAGGCCUACCAAGGCUACGAUCUGUAGCGGGUCUGAGAGGAUGAUCCGCAACACUGGGACUGGGACACUGCCGAGACUCUUACGGGAGGCAGCAGUGGGGAAUAUUGGACAAUGGGGGGAACCCGGAUCCAGCCAUGCCGCGUGUGUGAAGAAGGCCUUAUGGUUGUAAAGCACUUUAAGCGAGGAGGAGGCUACUGAGACUAAUACUCUUGGAUAGUGGACGUUACUCGCAGAGUAAGCACCGGCUAACUCUGUGCAGCAGCAGCCGUAA